Molecule: transfer RNA, 71 nt
Filed under: Sphyraena pinguis (red barracuda)
Lineage: Eukaryota; Metazoa; Chordata; Actinopteri; Sphyraenidae
Description: tRNA-Ser
Rfam family: tRNA
About the family: Transfer RNA (tRNA) molecules are approximately 80 nucleotides in length. Their secondary structure includes four short double-helical elements and three loops (D, anti-codon, and T loops).
Source: RNAcentral
AAGAAAGUGUCAGAGCGGUUAUGUGACUGGCUUGAAACCAGUUUACGGGGGUUCAACUCCCUCCUUUCUCG